CGCGAAAACUUUACAAUGCUGGCAACAGCGAUAAGGGAACCUCGAGUGCCAGGUUACAAAUCUGACUGUCGAGAUGCCUAAAAAGCAUUUCAUAGCAAGGGCCGGGCAAGACCGGUGCCAGCCGCCGCGGUAACACCGGCGGCUCGAGUGGUAACCGUUAUUAUUGGGUCUAAAGGGUCUGUAGCCGGCCGGAUAAGUCUCUUGGGAAAUCUGGCAGCUCAACUGUCAGGCUUUCAGGAGAUACUGUCUGGCUCGAGGCCGGGAGAGGUGAGAGGUACUUCAGGGGUAGGGGUGAAAUCUUGUAAUCCUUGAAGGACCACCAGUGGCGAAGGCGUCUCACCRGAACGGACCUGACGGCAAGGGACGAAAGCUAGGGGCACGAACCGGAUUAGAUACCCGGGUAGYCCUAGCCGUAAACGAUACUCGCUAGGUGUCGGCCACGGUGCGACCGUGGUCGGUGCCGUAGGGAAGCCGUGAAGCGAGCCACCUGGGAAGUACGGCCGCAAGGCUGAAACUUAAAGGAAUUGGCGGGGGAGCACCACAACGGGUGGAGCUUGCGGUUUAAUUGGAUUCAACGCCGG
Molecule: ribosomal RNA, 581 nt
Filed under: uncultured methanogenic archaeon
Lineage: Archaea; Methanobacteriati; Methanobacteriota
Description: bacterial SSU rRNA
Rfam family: Archaeal small subunit ribosomal RNA
Source: RNAcentral